This is a non-coding RNA of Diaporthe sp. PMI_573, 70 nucleotides long. The record is from the annotation of a GenBank genome assembly. NCBI's taxonomy places the organism in Eukaryota, Fungi, Ascomycota, Sordariomycetes, Diaporthales, Diaporthaceae.
AGGCAUGUGGUGUAAUGGUAAGAUCCCGACUCCUAAGAUGGUGAUGCUGGUUCGACCCCAGCCAUGUCUA